ACAAUUUUGUGGUUUGUAAGUGUGAUGAUUGGGUUUUCACGCUCAUGUGUGAGAUGUGCCUCCCUCAAACCUUGUUACGUCAUUGGCACAUUAAACAUCUCACA
Molecule: small nucleolar RNA, 104 nt
Organism: Symphalangus syndactylus (siamang)
Lineage: Eukaryota; Metazoa; Chordata; Mammalia; Primates; Hylobatidae
Product: small nucleolar RNA U13
Source: RefSeq, a predicted model, not a curated record